AGAGACGAUGGAGAAGGAGCUUAGGAUUCUAGAAAGCUCGUGGGAUGGGUGAGGGGGUAAGACAAUGGACUGUUUCAGUCUUUUGGAAACAGAAAUAAAGAAGAAGGCUGGUUUAUGUCUUGCCUACUCCACCCAUGCCACUGGUUUCCUGGUGUUCCUCCUCCUCCUAAAGUCUCU
This 177-nucleotide microRNA precursor is filed under the name Gossypium hirsutum (cotton). RNAcentral describes it as "miR482b stem-loop (ghr-MIR482b)". Its record names the gene ghr-MIR482b. Lineage: Eukaryota; Viridiplantae; Streptophyta; Magnoliopsida; Malvales; Malvaceae. The record is from miRBase by way of RNAcentral.